GGUCGAGUAGUUCAAUGGUUAGAACGGACGCCUAGGAGUUUAAUGAUAGUUCAAUUCUAUCCUCGACCA
Molecule: transfer RNA, 69 nt
Filed under: Caudoviricetes sp.
Lineage: Duplodnaviria; Heunggongvirae; Uroviricota; Caudoviricetes
Description: tRNA-OTHER
Rfam family: tRNA
About the family: Transfer RNA (tRNA) molecules are approximately 80 nucleotides in length. Their secondary structure includes four short double-helical elements and three loops (D, anti-codon, and T loops). Further hydrogen bonds mediate the characteristic L-shaped molecular structure. tRNAs have two regions of fundamental functional importance: the anti-codon, which is responsible for specific mRNA codon recognition, and the 3' end, to which the tRNAs corresponding amino acid is attached (by aminoacyl-tRNA synthetases). tRNAs cope with the degeneracy of the genetic code in two manners: having more than one tRNA (with a specific anti-codon) for a particular amino acid; and 'wobble' base-pairing, i.e. permitting non-standard base-pairing at the 3rd anti-codon position.
Source: RNAcentral